AGCAGCUUUUCUAGAGCAUCAGAGUCUUCCUCAGUCAAUGGAGUGCCUGCAAACACACCCAGCAAUGUUGACACAGGGAAGGAUCAGAACUAAGUUAUGAGAUUCAAAAAAAGUUCACAUGCAUAGAAGUGCACUGAUAUCGCUCCUAUUGGCCUCACCACAAAUGAGUGACUGACUAAGUUUAAAUAACCGGAUGUCCCUGUGAUGAGAGCUGACUCGAUCAUAAGCUGGCUAGAAAGUGAGCAAGCAAGCAACCCUAACUGGAUCUAUAUCAUACUAUUAUGUUACAGUUCAUUUUACAGUUUUACAUCAUUCAUAAUUUGACAUUUUACAACAUUCAUAUUGACCAGAAACUCAGUGGAAUAAAAAGACCCCAGCCAUGUCUCACAUUCUCUUAUAUAGCAUGAUCAGACAAGGUAACAGCAUGCCCAGAGAGUCCUUCCAGAUGGAUAUCACCAUAUGCCUAAUUUUCAUGGGUCAAAUAUUUGUGGUUUUCGUGGUUGAGGCUCUAACCACGAAUAUUUUACCCACAAAAAUUACCAGCUAUAUGGUAUACAUGUAUUUACAAUAGUAGUGCAAUCCUUUGAUG
Molecule: long non-coding RNA, 589 nt
Organism: Halichondria panicea
Lineage: Eukaryota; Metazoa; Porifera; Demospongiae; Suberitida; Halichondriidae
Exons: 3
Source: RefSeq, a predicted model, not a curated record